ACGAUGAUGAUAAUGCUACUGCUGGACCAUCCUCCAACAGUAGUAAUUUGGUUUCUGGCCCUAAUUCUAAUGGAGUUAGUCAACCACUUUCAGAUGGCCAGAUCUCUGGUUCUGAAACUGGAGAUUUGCAAGAUGAUUAUGUUUAUGAUGAGGCAUCUGGGUACUACUAUAGCAGCAGUUCAGGUUACUAUUAUGACCCAUCUACAGGAUUGUACUGUUAUGCAACAUCAGGGAAAUGGUACUCAUUCAAUGAGGAGACUGGCACAUAUGAUGAAAUCCAAGAAGUUUCCUCAACUGCAAACUAAAGGAAUCAGUUAUUUUCGCUCGCUUGUGGAAUUUGUACAGUCUACCA
This 352-nucleotide unclassified non-coding RNA is filed under the name Hevea brasiliensis (rubber tree). Lineage: Eukaryota; Viridiplantae; Streptophyta; Magnoliopsida; Malpighiales; Euphorbiaceae. The record is from RNAcentral.